ACAGUGAAGGCGCAUGUAUGGAUGUAAAUAUAAGAUUGCAGAAUCUGGAACAAAAAAUAUUUCCCAUGGCUAUUUCCAUUUCAUCACUUACUAUGUUCCAUUUUCGUUGUGCAUACCAUGCCCGGCCUGUUGGUUAACAAAAUUUGAAUUACUUUUAUUUCCUAAAUUUCGAAUAUCAAUACUGACGAAAAUACACACGAAAAAUACUACAGAUUUAAUAUUUAUUUUACACAACACUCUGGUCACACAUAUUUUUUUUCAUUGAAAAGAAGAAUUAGGUAAUUGUUUGUGGGUUAAUUCACACAGUGCGAAACAACUAAUCAAUUUUUUUCCCUAGGAUCGUAUCAAAAUGCAAGGACUAGGGUUGCAAAGUAUAAAGAAAAAUCCAGCAGUAAGUUCAAUACCCUGAAACAAAUUUUUUUUAGUUAUGUAAUCAGUUUAUUUUGUAGCUGAUCCCACUCUAUGUCUGUGUUGCUGCUGGAGCCAUUGGUGCUGUCUAUUAUAUGGCUCGUCUAGCCACCAGAAAUCCAGACGUAACAUGGAAUCGCUCAACGAACCCAGAACCAUGGCAAGAGUACAAAGACAAACAAUAUAAGGUACCAAGCAUUUUGCCUAUAUUAACAUUAAAAAUUGCACUAAUCAUGGAAUCGAUUUUUCUAUGGCUAUAUACAUAUCCAUUAACAUAUAAAUAAAGUGCAUAUUCCAAUCAUAUGCAAAUAAACUACCCUACAUUUGUAGGGUAUCCUUAUAUAGCAAUUAUUAAUACAAACCACAUAUUUAUUUUCAGUUUUAUUCUCCUGUGAGGGACUAUUCAAAAACAAAGAGUGCUGCUCCAAACUAUGAGGAAUAAAAUCUUUAACAUGUUAUUAAAUUCUAUAUGAAAACUAAAUGCAUUCAAUGAAUUAAAAAUGUCGAAGUUUUUAUUGAUUUUACUGUUUUGGCCCCCACUUAAGGAGUUCAUACAUUUUAAACGGAAUGGGCCUUCCACUUUAUUUCCAGCUGUGGGUAAAACCUUUGUAAGAUAUUCGUACAAUAGAGAGGUGGGCGGCCUGUAAAGAGAAAAAUUGUAUUAUAAAUCCGGUACUCGGAAGAGUUAAAGGGAUAUAGUAGAUGUGGAUACAUAUGUACAUAUGCAACGCCUUGAAGAAAACGUUUCCGACCCCAUAAAUUAUAUACAUUGUUUGUUAAUUAGCACUAAUAGCCGAGAUAUAGCCUUGUCUGCCUGUCCUUCCGUCCUAAUGAGAAAGAGGAAACUCAUUUGCAGUGGCUACUCCCACCCACUCCAGAAAUUCUGCUGCCGGCUCAAUAUCUACACAUUUUGGAUAGCUAAAAGUGCGUGUUGGUGUGAGUAGUGUGUACAUGGAGCAGAAGAUGUACCAAAAGAUGUCCAAUGUAAAAUUCGAGCCUCACAACGUUCUUCCUCCUUUUAUAAGCGAUUUGAUGGAAAGGGUCUUUUUCCGAGUUUCUGGAUACUCGGCUUUAGAAAUAAAUUUAAUAAAUACAUAUAUUAAGAGUUUAUUAAAGAUUCAGUUAAAUAAACACAAGCUUAAAACAUCAGCAAAUCUAUUAAUGUAUAUAUACAAGAAACAAAA
RNAcentral lists this long non-coding RNA (1592 nucleotides) under Drosophila guanche. Lineage: Eukaryota; Metazoa; Arthropoda; Insecta; Diptera; Drosophilidae. The record is from RNAcentral.